RNAcentral lists this ribosomal RNA (368 nucleotides) under Chryseobacterium vietnamense. RNAcentral's name for it is "partial 23S ribosomal RNA". It matches the Rfam family "Bacterial large subunit ribosomal RNA", at positions 1 to 432 of the family's 2925-position model. Lineage: Bacteria; Pseudomonadati; Bacteroidota; Flavobacteriia; Flavobacteriales; Weeksellaceae. The record is from RNAcentral. RNAcentral also lists the same sequence under 1 other name.
AAAGAAAUCGUUAAGGGCGUAUGGCGGAUGCCUAGGCUUUCAGAGGCGACGAAGGACGUGGUAAGCUGCGAAAAGCUGCGGGGAUUGGCACACACGAAUUGAUCCGCAGAUAUCCGAAUGGGGCAACCCGGCAUAUUGAAGAUAUGUCACCUCGCAAGAGGAGCAAACCCGGAGAACUGAAACAUCUAAGUACCCGGAGGAAAAGAAAUCGAAGAGAUUCCGUAAGUAGUGGCGAGCGAAAGCGGAUUAGCCCAAAAGUCUUUAUAUAUUUAGAAGAAUGUUCUGGAAAGAACAGCCAUAGAAGGUGAUAGCCCUGUAUUUGAAAGGUAUAUUAAGAUGAUAAAUGAGUAGGGCGGGACACGUGAAAU